UUUUCUCGGGAGAGAGAGGUGAU
Molecule: small nuclear RNA, 23 nt
Filed under: Arabidopsis thaliana (thale cress)
Lineage: Eukaryota; Viridiplantae; Streptophyta; Magnoliopsida; Brassicales; Brassicaceae
Description: snRNA_03124
Source: RNAcentral